This 408-nucleotide ribosomal RNA is filed under the name uncultured bacterium. RNAcentral describes it as "bacterial SSU rRNA". It matches the Rfam family "Bacterial small subunit ribosomal RNA", at positions 28 to 435 of the family's 1533-position model. The record is from RNAcentral.
GAUGAACGCUGGCGGCGCGCCUAACACAUGCAAGUCGAACGAGUAAGACGCCUUCGGGCGUGCAUAGAGUGGCGAACGGGUGAGUAACACGUGACCAACCUGCCCCCUCCUCCGGGACAACCUCGGGAAACCGAGGCUAAUACCGGAUACUCCGGGCCCCCCGCAUGGGGAGCCCGGGAAAGCCCUGGCGGGAGGGGAUGGGGUCGCGGCCCAUCAGGUAGACGGCGGGGUAACGGCCCACCGUGCCUACUACGGGUAGCCGGGCUGAGAGGCCGAUCGGCCACAUUGGGACUGAGACACGGCCCAGACUCCUACGGGAGGCAGCAGUGGGGAAUUUUGCGCAAUGGGGGCAACCCUGACGCAGCGACGCCGCGUGCGGGACGAAGUCAUUCGUGACGUAAACCGCUU